RNAcentral lists this ribosomal RNA (423 nucleotides) under uncultured bacterium. Its description in RNAcentral is "partial 16S ribosomal RNA". It matches the Rfam family "Bacterial small subunit ribosomal RNA", at positions 360 to 775 of the family's 1533-position model. The record is from RNAcentral.
AAUUUUGGACUAUGGGGGACACCCUGAUCCAGCCAUCCCGCGUGUAUGAUGAAGGACUCCGUGUUGUAAAGUACUUUUGGCAGAGAAGAAAAGGUAUCUCCUAAUAGGAGAUACUGCAGACGGCAGCUGCAGAAUAAGCACCGGCUAACUACGUGCCAGCAGCCGCGGUAAUACGUAGGGUGCAAGAGUUAAUCGGAAUUACUGGGCGUAAAGCGUGUGUAGGCGGUUCGGAAAGAAAGAUGUGAAAUCCCAGGGCUCAACCUUGGAACUGCAUUUUUAACUGCCGAGCUAGAGUAUGUCAGAGGGGGGUAGAAUUCCACGUGUAGCAGUGAAAUGCGUAGAUAUGUGGAGGAAUACCGAUGGCGAAGGCAGCCCCCUGGGAUAAUACUGACGCUCAGACACGAAAGCGUGGGGAGCAAACAG